CACACUGCUUACUUAAAAUCCCAUAAAACACACAUUUGUUCUCUUGGUUAUAUAAUUUUUAAUUGCCUAUAACUGGUUGUAGUACACCAACGAAAAUGGAAUAGAAAUCUAUUGUGAAUGGAGAUUCAUAGAGACUCUCUCUAACACAUGCUUGCAGACAAUUUCAUCUCACCCAAUCUAAGUCCCAUAUAUGUUGAUUGAUCUUAUAAUUGGGAUCCUAGCUCCGGUAUUUCAUAGACCUUCGAGUGAGAACCUAGCCAAACGAGCUACAAUCUCUGACUAAACUGAGAUGUUAAUUUAAUUCUUUUCCAACUAUAAAAGCGAUACAGACUUGGAGAAUGGAAAGAAAAGUUUACCGGAUUAAUUAAACACUCCAAUUUGAAGAGAGACUAGAAAAACAGAGGCUGGAGGAGGAGACAUAUUGAGUUAGUAUGCUGGUCUAUAUUAUUAUUGUAACCGCUGCUUGAGAGAUUUUUAAUUAUUGUCAUGUUUCUAAAAAAACUAUAUUA
This is a non-coding RNA of Camelina sativa (false flax), 509 nucleotides long. NCBI's taxonomy places the organism in Eukaryota, Viridiplantae, Streptophyta, Magnoliopsida, Brassicales, Brassicaceae. The record is from RefSeq and is a predicted model, not a curated record.